RNAcentral lists this ribosomal RNA (331 nucleotides) under uncultured eukaryote. RNAcentral's name for it is "partial 18S ribosomal RNA". It matches the Rfam family "Eukaryotic small subunit ribosomal RNA", at positions 1470 to 1796 of the family's 1831-position model. The record is from RNAcentral.
CCCUUAGAUGUUCUGGGCCGCACGCGCGCUACACUGACGAAGUCAGCGAGCAUGUCCUACGCCGACAGGUGCGGGGAAUCUUGUCAAACUUCGUCGUGAUGGGGAUUGAUUAUUGAAAUUCUUGAUCAUCAACGAGGAAUUCCUAGUAAGCGCAAGUCAGCAGCUUGCGUUGAUUACGUCCCUGCCCUUUGUACACACCGCCCGUCGCUACUGCCGAUUGAAUGGUUUAGUGAGAUCUUCGGAUUGGCGCCACUGCGGCUCAGCAAUGGGCUCGGUGGAUGCCGAAAAGUUGAUCAAACUUGAUCAUUUAGAGGAAGUAAAAGUCGUAACA